GAUGAAGAACGUAGCGAAAUGCGAUAAGUAAUGUGAAUUGCAGAAUUCAGUGAAUCAUCGAAUCUUUGAACGCACCUUGCACCCUUUGGCAUUCUGAAGGGUAUGCUCGUUUGAGUGUCAUUGUACUCUCACACUCCCGAUCUUUGCAUUGGGAGCAGUGGACUUGGGUUUGCUGCUUCACCGUCGCUUACCUCAAAUAGGUUAGUGCAACUCUUGGUUGGACAUAGUACGGCGUGAUAAGUGUUCUUCGCCGGUGCCUCGCAAAGAGGGUGGCCGAUCGGGAUGUUGUGCUCCAAACCGUCUUCGGACAAUCUCUGACGACUUGACCUCAAAUCGAGUAAGACUACCCGCUGAACUUAAGCAUAUCAAUAAGCGGGGA
Molecule: unclassified non-coding RNA, 379 nt
Filed under: soil metagenome
Description: partial contains 5.8S ribosomal RNA, internal transcribed spacer 2, and large subunit ribosomal RNA
Rfam family: 5.8S ribosomal RNA (bases 1-120)
Source: RNAcentral